This is a long non-coding RNA of Odocoileus virginianus texanus, 4688 nucleotides long. RefSeq lists it as uncharacterized. Lineage: Eukaryota; Metazoa; Chordata; Mammalia; Artiodactyla; Cervidae. The record is from RefSeq and is a predicted model, not a curated record.
AUGGAUGUGAAACUCAAAAGUCUGCAAAUGGAUCACUCUUCUCAUUUUCACUUCUAACCAGUGCGAGUCCCUGUUUGGACCUCACAACCAGCCAUUCUAACCAGUGCCUUUGGAUGAAAAGCUGGAAAGCAUUCUGGGAUAUUUCUGAAAGGCCCAAAAGUCCUUUCUCAACUGUAACAAAUGUUCAAAAGCUAGUAACCUGAUUUGGCUCAGUGGACUAGUGUGCCCCCAACAGCAAAUCAGCUGAAUGCUCCAACUGCAUUUAAAGAUUAGGUGGUAUGCCUAGUGGCAUUUACUACCGAAACUGAACUUCCUGACACCCACAAUAGGCCAUCCUAACUAUUAUAACAUUCUUGGCAUUAUAAAGAGAAGAAUUUUAGAGUGUCUAAAAGCAAAAUAGGUCAUCCAAAAAUCCAGGUCAUGCAAAACUGCAUGUCAAGAUACUGGCAGAAGGCUCAACAUCAGGAAAAUAUGGUUGAUAGUCCAGUCCCCAAAAUGGGCUGCAAAUGGCAAUUAAAAAAUAAAAAAAAGCUCAGGAUUCAAACAAAAUUUUCACAUCAUUAAAAGGAAUUGAGUGCAUCUUUAAAAACAGCAGAAAAACUCCACUUCCAAGGGCUACUCUUGCCAAACAGAGGCCAGUGGAUAAAAGCACUAAACCCAAGUGUUCUGACACUGAUUUGGGCACCAAAACCAAACAUUUACAAGUGAAGAUGACAUUGAGAAGUGAGAUACUGCGGCCUAUUUCGGGUCUGGCUUUCCUGUGCUUGCUACAGAAAGCUACACUGUCUGCAGCCAAGUGCUCAGAGGUAGAGGAGCUAAAGCGAGUACAAAAGAGAAUGAGGUGGACAGUGGCUGAGGAAUCCAGCCUCCUGCGUAAGGGGCUACAGGGCAAACUUGGAAUAUUGUCUUUAAUGGGAGGUAGAAUUUUCUACACUAACUUAUCUGCCUUCAUCAGACAUCUUUUUCUCACACACAUGCAUAAAAUCACAUACAUAUAGUGGGCAAUUCAUAAUGAUAUUGCAACUUGCAGUGACUGCACACCUAUUCCAACAGAUAUUUUCAACCUAAAUUUUAUAUUAACCCCCAGCUUUUCUCUGGUAGAUUCAAGCCAAAUUUGUUCUUUUGAGAGCCCUCCUUUUGCCGGGCUUCUAAACAUACAUUUCACUUUAACGCCUACAUCUUUUGUCGCUAAAGAACAGCUGCGCUAAGUGGGUGCAAAGUGUUAUAACAUCUUUAUAAAUACAAAGUGCGAGAAAUAAUUUUCUUAGCCAAAAUACAAACAAAGCAACUAAAAGCUCUCAUAGCCUACUAUGCCAAGAAAUUGAUUUUUAUAAUCAAUGAUACAGCUAACAAAAUGCUUCUAAAGCUACCAAGGUUAUAGUGGAUGAGUAAAUAUAUUUAUAAACAUACAUUUAUGAAAAAAAGAUAUUAAGAAAAUAGCCAAACUUCCCACAAAAGUUAUUUGCAUGAACUAUCUUUAGUAUACCACUCUGUUCAAUGCACAUGCAUAUACAAUUGAAUUAUAUUAGUGUUAUUUUUAUUGGCCCACUUUUCCAAAAAGAAAACAGGCUCACUUUUCAAGUUACAUGAUUUAAAAUAAUUUUUGUAAAAAUAGCAAAUACCAUAUAAAUUUUACAUAUCUUUGCUAUCUGACUGAUAGCCAUUCUCGAAGUGGAUUUCAGCCACACUCUUAGUGACCCCUGCUUUAUCAUCUUGGCUUCCAGAGGAAACACAUUUUAAGCUUUGUUCCCUGUGUUGUAAUUCUGUUUUUGCAAUGGCUCUUUAAGAACCACUAGUUAGGAUUCUGUUAAUUUACAGGAAACUCAGUAGAUCAUCUUCAAAUAUGUCAAAAACAUCUGCUUUAAGAUGUGCUAAAUGCAGAAAUCUAAACCACAGGAAUUUCUCAGGUAGUUGUUAUUAGCUUUAAUGGUUUAGACUUAUGAUGCUGAAAAGAAAAAAUAAGUAUUUUGUCAAUCUACAGGUUCCCUUUCUUCUUUGUCCUCUUUUUCAACUUGAGACCAUAGUACAGUGGACCCUUGACCAACAUAGGUUUGAACUGCACGAGUCCACUUAUACCCAGGUUUUUUUCAAUAGUAAAUGCUACAUUACUACACCUCCAGCAGUUGGUUGAAUCCCCAGAUACAGAGGAACCUCAGAAACAGAGGCCCAAUUAUUAAGAUAUAGGCGGAUUUUCCACUUGGAGAGGGUUGCACUCUAACUCCCACAUUGUUCAAGAGUCAACUGUACUUAGUUUUCGUGCAACCACCAGAUGAUUUCAAAUUUAAGAGUCAGAGAAUCUAGAGGAGGGCCCAAAGGGCUAUAAGACACUGAAUGAGAGGCAUCUUCAUAGAUUAUCAAAGAUUUUUCAAGUAACCAGUAUUUUUGCUAUGAGCUUCUUUGCUGCAAACAUUUUUGCACCAUGACUAAUUGGCCAUAAGACAAUUUUGUCACAAAAGAUAAAAUAACUGGAUGACAGUUUUUGCUUUGAUAGUCUGGUCUUGACAGGCAUGUCUCCCAGUUAGUGACAUUACUGAUGGUUUUAAUGAACUGACAGAUAAUGAUGACUGGCCCCAUGAGGUGGUUUCUUAUUUUGAAACAAACUACACUGGAGGAUAAAUAGGCCAAAAGUCUCAAAGGUGCAGAGCUGAACCCACAUUUCCUAUACAACUAUGGAAAGUAUGAACAGACAUAUGACAAGAUGCCAAGAACAAACAAUAGUGGAGAGGCUUUCACGAUGUGAUACAAAGCAUGGUUACGAACAUGCAUCCUGGUUAUUUGGAAACUGACACCUCUCUCAAUGAAGGAAGAAGUUUAAUAAAAAAGAAAAUGCACAAUGCUGAUGAGGAGAUAAUCAAAAUACUCAAUACUAAGAAUGAAAGACCUGGAAGACAACUGCUUAGGUACAACACACAAAACAUGAAAAUCAGUUAUUUGUGCAGAAUUGCCAUGAACUACACACAUUUUAGAUGUAUUCAAAUAUUUUGUAAUUUGCUUUCAAAUUAAAAUUGCUUUUAAAAAAACUGUCAUUCAUUUAUCAUGUUUCAUUAUGUCCUCUUUAAUAUCCCUCUUUUAUUUUUUACUAUUUUAUCUUUUACGGGAAAAUUGCCUUGCAGUGAAUUAGUAAUUAAGGUGAAAAAUGCUUGCAGCAGAGAUGUCUAUGGCGAAGAUGCUUACAGCAAAAGUACCUAGAAUCAAUUUUUCAUUCCCUUGGAAUAUAUUUUCAAAGGUUUUCUCUGUCACAAUGGGCAGACUUUGAGGUACAGCAGAGUGGAAAAUGUUAAGGCUCAGUGAUUUUUAUUCAUUAAAAUUUGCCCCAAUCAUUGUAUGAUAAAAUCUAAUUAAUACGGAUGCCUAAAUGACUCAAACAUUCCAUACCUGGUUAUUCAACCACAAAUGCCCAAGUCCUUUUUUCCUUUCCCAGGAUCUUCUAGAGUCCUAAAUUAAUUUAAAGUUUUCAGCCCUGAGUACCCCUUUUAUUUCCUGUAUUUGUAAUUCCUGAGGCCUGACCCGAGAACAGAGAUCCCUUCAACUACAUGAUCUAAUUGGGAUAGACCAAAAAGAAGCCCUCACAACUAAUUCUCUAAGAAACCACUGCAGAUGGAAUGGAUAGAUAACACCAAACCUUUCUUCUCUUAGAAAGAUGAUUUGGGGAUGAUCAUUUUUCCAACAGAAUUUAUUCUUUGCCCUUAUUUCUUCUGAAAGCAAUAAAAGUCCUUUUAUAAGCCAGCAGGAGGUAAAGCAUCCUAAACUUGACAAAUCUAACCCCAACUCAUAACACUUAAAUGAUCUGUCAUUUCAGUCAACAGAAACCAGUAGCAACUGAUACUUUUAAAGGAUUAACAACUAUCAAAUGGAGCAACAGAGUUUCCAAAAUGGAAGCUUCUUCUAACCCAUGGCUAGUAGAAGAAAUGGUUUCUUAUGGCACAAACAACUGAUCUAAAUGAACACACAAGUUAAGACAAAUCCAAAACACCUACUGCUGCCUGUAACAGAUUAAAGAUGGUCUCAAAUCCUUGACACAUCUUCCAUCAAGUGGUAAGGUAUCUCCUCUCCCUUCGAAUCUGGGCUGACUAGUGACUUCUUUGACCAAGUGUGUGGUGAUGACUCUUAUGAAAGCUCUGGGCCUGGCCUUGAAGAGGACUUGGGAGGCCUGAGCUGCCAUCUCCUAAAUUUGACUACUCUGAUGGAAAGAUCAGAUGGAGGGUCCCAAGGCUCCAGAGAUGGGGAGGAGGCCUGCUGGGCCUAGUUUUCCAGUCCUCUCUACCAAGGUGUCAGGAUGGUGAGCUCACCUUGGACACCCUGAUCAGUCCAACCACCUGCUGAAUACUAUCAGAUGACCUGAAUCAUCACCACAGGGAACAUGAAACUGCCUAGACAAGCCUUUCCUGAAUUUCUGAUUCACAACAUUAUGAAAUAUAUAAAGCAGUUGCUGUUUUAGGUCACUGGGAUUUAGAGAGUUCAUUACAUAGCGACAGGUAACUGGAAUGCUAUCUUUCAAUUUCUGCCUUGGUAGUAGUAACUCAAGCAGUUGUUCACAAUUAGAACCACCAAAGGGGGGACUCCUCUAAAUUGGUGGGCAAUAUUCCCAGAAAACGUUCACCAUUCAACAUCUGCUCAAAGUCAACUGCAUUAUCUCUUGGAAAAACCUUCCGAUCACUUAUUCCUGAAUUAAAAGUUCCCUAAAAGCA